Molecule: ribosomal RNA, 2891 nt
Filed under: Pseudomonas syringae pv. tomato
Lineage: Bacteria; Pseudomonadati; Pseudomonadota; Gammaproteobacteria; Pseudomonadales; Pseudomonadaceae
Also listed under: 3 other names
Description: bacterial LSU rRNA
Rfam family: Bacterial large subunit ribosomal RNA
Source: RNAcentral
UCAAGUGAAGAAGCGCAUACGGUGGAUGCCUUGGCAGUCAGAGGCGAUGAAAGACGUGGUAGCCUGCGAAAAGCUUCGGGGAGUCGGCAAACAGACUGUGAUCCGGAGAUGUCUGAAUGGGGGAACCCAGCCAUCAUAAGAUGGUUAUCUUACACUGAAUACAUAGGUGUAAGAGGCGAACCAGGGGAACUGAAACAUCUAAGUACCCUGAGGAAAAGAAAUCAACCGAGAUUCCCUUAGUAGUGGCGAGCGAACGGGGACCAGCCCUUAAGUUGUAUUGAGAUUAGCGGAACGCUCUGGAAAGUGCGGCCAUAGUGGGUGAUAGCCCUGUACGCGAAAAUCCCUUUGCAAUGAAAUCGAGUAGGACGGGGCACGAGAAACCUUGUCUGAAUAUGGGGGGACCAUCCUCCAAGGCUAAAUACUACUGACUGACCGAUAGUGAACCAGUACCGUGAGGGAAAGGCGAAAAGAACCGCGGAGAGCGGAGUGAAAUAGAUCCUGAAACCGUAUGCGUACAAGCAGUGGGAGCCCACUUUGUUGGGUGACUGCGUACCUUUUGUAUAAUGGGUCAGCGACUUAUUUUCAGUGGCGAGCUUAACCGAAUAGGGGAGGCGUAGCGAAAGCGAGUCUUAAUAGGGCGUCUAGUCGCUGGGAAUAGACCCGAAACCGGGCGAUCUAUCCAUGGGCAGGUUGAAGGUUGGGUAACACUAACUGGAGGACCGAACCGACUACCGUUGAAAAGUUAGCGGAUGACCUGUGGAUCGGAGUGAAAGGCUAAUCAAGCUCGGAGAUAGCUGGUUCUCCUCGAAAGCUAUUUAGGUAGCGCCUCAUGUAUCACUGUAGGGGGUAGAGCACUGUUUCGGCUAGGGGGUCAUCCCGACUUACCAAACCGAUGCAAACUCCGAAUACCUACAAGUGCCGAGCAUGGGAGACACACGGCGGGUGCUAACGUCCGUCGUGAAAAGGGAAACAACCCAGACCGUCAGCUAAGGUCCCAAAGUCAUGGUUAAGUGGGAAACGAUGUGGGAAGGCUUAGACAGCUAGGAGGUUGGCUUAGAAGCAGCCACCCUUUAAAGAAAGCGUAAUAGCUCACUAGUCGAGUCGGCCUGCGCGGAAGAUGUAACGGGGCUCAAACCAUGCACCGAAGCUACGGGUAUCACCUUUGGUGAUGCGGUAGAGGAGCGUUCUGUAAGCCUGUGAAGGUGAGUUGAGAAGCUUGCUGGAGGUAUCAGAAGUGCGAAUGCUGACAUGAGUAACGACAAUGGGUGUGAAAAACACCCACGCCGAAAGACCAAGGUUUCCUGCGCAACGUUAAUCGACGCAGGGUUAGUCGGUCCCUAAGGCGAGGCUGAAAAGCGUAGUCGAUGGAAAACAGGUUAAUAUUCCUGUACUUCUGGUUAUUGCGAUGGAGGGACGGAGAAGGCUAGGCCAGCCUGGCGUUGGUAGUCCAGGUUUAAGGUGGUAGGCUGAGAUCUUAGGUAAAUCCGGGAUCUUAAGGCCGAGAGCUGAUGACGAGUGUUCUUUUAGAACAUGAAGUGGUUGAUGCCAUGCUUCCAAGAAAAGCUUCUAAGCUUCAGGUAACCAGGAACCGUACCCCAAACCGACACAGGUGGUUGGGUAGAGAAUACCAAGGCGCUUGAGAGAACUCGGGUGAAGGAACUAGGCAAAAUGGCACCGUAACUUCGGGAGAAGGUGCGCCGGUGAGGGUGAAGCAUUUACUGCGUAAGCCCACGCCGGUCGAAGAUACCAGGCCGCUGCGACUGUUUAUUAAAAACACAGCACUCUGCAAACACGAAAGUGGACGUAUAGGGUGUGACGCCUGCCCGGUGCCGGAAGGUUAAUUGAUGGGGUUAGCGCAAGCGAAGCUCUUGAUCGAAGCCCCGGUAAACGGCGGCCGUAACUAUAACGGUCCUAAGGUAGCGAAAUUCCUUGUCGGGUAAGUUCCGACCUGCACGAAUGGCGUAACGAUGGCGGCGCUGUCUCCACCCGAGACUCAGUGAAAUUGAAAUCGCUGUGAAGAUGCAGUGUAUCCGCGGCUAGACGGAAAGACCCCGUGAACCUUUACUAUAGCUUUGCACUGGACUUUGAAUUUGCUUGUGUAGGAUAGGUGGGAGGCUUUGAAGCGUGGACGCCAGUCUGCGUGGAGCCAACCUUGAAAUACCACCCUGGCAACUUUGAGGUUCUAACUCAGGUCCGUUAUCCGGAUCGAGGACAGUGUAUGGUGGGUAGUUUGACUGGGGCGGUCUCCUCCUAAAGAGUAACGGAGGAGUACGAAGGUGCGCUCAGACCGGUCGGAAAUCGGUCGUAGAGUAUAAAGGCAAAAGCGCGCUUGACUGCGAGACAGACACGUCGAGCAGGUACGAAAGUAGGUCUUAGUGAUCCGGUGGUUCUGUAUGGAAGGGCCAUCGCUCAACGGAUAAAAGGUACUCCGGGGAUAACAGGCUGAUACCGCCCAAGAGUUCAUAUCGACGGCGGUGUUUGGCACCUCGAUGUCGGCUCAUCACAUCCUGGGGCUGAAGCCGGUCCCAAGGGUAUGGCUGUUCGCCAUUUAAAGUGGUACGCGAGCUGGGUUUAGAACGUCGUGAGACAGUUCGGUCCCUAUCUGCCGUGGACGUUUGAGAUUUGAGAGGGGCUGCUCCUAGUACGAGAGGACCGGAGUGGACGAACCUCUGGUGUUCCGGUUGUCACGCCAGUGGCAUUGCCGGGUAGCUAUGUUCGGAAAAGAUAACCGCUGAAAGCAUCUAAGCGGGAAACUUGCCUCAAGAUGAGAUCUCACUGGAACCUUGAGUUCCCUGAAGGGCCGUCGAAGACUACGACGUUGAUAGGUUGGGUGUGUAAGCGCUGUGAGGCGUUGAGCUAACCAAUACUAAUUGCCCGUGAGGCUUGACCAU